Molecule: unclassified non-coding RNA, 373 nt
Filed under: soil metagenome
Description: partial contains 5.8S ribosomal RNA, internal transcribed spacer 2, and large subunit ribosomal RNA
Rfam family: 5.8S ribosomal RNA (bases 1-121)
Source: RNAcentral
GAUGAAGAAGGUAGCGAAAUGCGAUAAGUAAUGCGAAUUGCAGAAUUCCAGUGAGUCAUCGAAUCUUUGAACGCACAUUGCGCCCUUUGGUAUUCCGAAGGGCAUGCCUGUUCGAGCGUCAUUAUCACCCCUCAAGCCCUCGGCUUGGUGUUGGACGGUUUGGUGGAGGCCCCCUCGGGGGUUCCUGCCCCUCCCAAAGACAAUGACGGCGGCCUCGUUGGACCCCCGGUACACUGAGUUCUUCACGGGACACGUAUCGGACACAUGGGUUUACGGGACACGGUCUGCCUCCCCUCAGGGAGAAUCUUUCUAAGGUUGACCUCGGAUCAGGUAGGGAUACCCGCUGAACUUAAGCAUAUCAAUAAGCGGAGGA